Molecule: ribosomal RNA, 253 nt
Filed under: uncultured microorganism
Description: partial 16S ribosomal RNA
Rfam family: Bacterial small subunit ribosomal RNA
Source: RNAcentral
UACGUAUGUCCCGAGCGUUAUCCGGAUUCAUUGGGCGUAAAGCGAGCGCAGACGGUUGAUUAAGUCUGAUGUGAAAGCCCGGAGCUCAACUCCGGAAUGGCAUUGGAAACUGGUUAACUUGAGUGUUGUAGAGGUAAGUGGAACUCCAUGUGUAGCGGUGGAAUGCGUAGAUAUAUGGAAGAACACCAGUGGCGAAGGCGGCUUACUGGACAACAACUGACGUUGAGGCUCGAAAGUGUGGGUAGCAAACAGG